Molecule: non-coding RNA, 97 nt
Organism: Rhizobium sp. R72
Lineage: Bacteria; Pseudomonadati; Pseudomonadota; Alphaproteobacteria; Hyphomicrobiales; Rhizobiaceae
Source: Rfam
GGAAGGGCGACCGACCGUGGGGAGGAAGCGUGGAUCGCAACUGCGGGCCGAUGAAUAAGAACCGGAUAUGAGGCGGUGCCGACCAGGGCGAGCGGGC